Prosopis cineraria is the source of this 778-nucleotide long non-coding RNA. RefSeq lists it as uncharacterized. Lineage: Eukaryota; Viridiplantae; Streptophyta; Magnoliopsida; Fabales; Fabaceae. The record is from RefSeq and is a predicted model, not a curated record. The transcript has 3 exons.
CUAACUCUCCCAUUGAGUGACAAGCCUCUUGUUUAGUUUUCUGAAAUUGAACUGUAGAACAGGCAAACUUAUUAAUUUGAUGAAAAGAAAUUUUAAAUAUAACUUAUAAAUAAAAGCUUUCGCGGAUUGCAUCCUCCUUAGAACGGAGAAGAAAAGGUAUUGCCCAUCCAGACGCCUGGGUGAAUUCUAGGAUUUUGGACGAGACUUUCAUGCUGACAAUUAGGAAUGGGAAAGAAAUGACCAGAUGAUCCAGCAGAGCAAGGAGAAGUGUCGGUUCUACAGGAAUCAGCAGAAGAACAUUUUGGAAUCGGUUACAGAGGUCAUCGACAUUGAUGCCAUCAUCGAACAAGCAGACGAGGCUGGGCGUCUCUUCUUCUCCAACCACCUGCCCCUGACCUCCCCAUUAGUCUACUUGAGGAAAUGAGAAGCUUGUCCUCACACCCAUUGUGAAGAAUCUUGGAUACCUGGAGACAGCUUGGGCGAGUUGUUGAGUAGUGAUUUGCUUGUGAUGGUUGUUGAUUAGCGAGAGUCCACUUUUUUACCGCUGUCCUGAUCUCGAGGUAAGGAGACUAUUUUUCUUGAUUGAUGAGUUUUGGAUUGUGAACUCAAAGUAAGCUGACAAAUCUAGAGACUUGAGAUCUUUCUUGUCCAUGGCAACUCUAAACACAAUUGAUGUGUAAAUGCUUUGCGUUUGCAAAAGUGGAAUGAGACCUCUUUAAAAGUGAUGCAUACAUUGAUUAACAGAAUAUAAUGAUGUUUGGGGUUACAUGAUACUUUA